CGCGCGUGUGUGAUGAAGGCCUUCGGGUCGUAAAGCACUUUUUCUGGGAGAUGAAGAAAGGACAGUAUCCCAGGAAUAAGUCUCGGCUAACUACGUGCCAGCAGCCGCGGUAAAACGUAGGAGGCGAGCGUUAUCCGGAUUCACUGGGCGUAAAGCGCGUGCAGGUGGCGCGGUAAGUUGGGCGUGAAAUCUCCCGGCUCAACUGGGAGAGGUCGUCCAAUACUACCGUGCUUGAGAGCAGAAGAGGAAGAUGGAAUCCCCGGUGUAGUGGUGAAAUGCGUAGAUAUCGGGAGGAACACCAGUGGCGAAGGCGAUCUUCUGGUCUGUUUCUGACACUCAGACGCGACAGCUAGGGUAGUAAACGGGAUUAGAGACCCCGGUAAUCCUAGCCGUAAACGAUGUGAACUUGGCGUUGGUGGGUUAAACUCCAUCAGUGCCGUAGCAAACGCGAUAAGUUCACCGCCUGGGGACUACGGCCGCAAGGUUA
RNAcentral lists this ribosomal RNA (487 nucleotides) under uncultured Chloroflexota bacterium. RNAcentral's name for it is "bacterial SSU rRNA". It matches the Rfam family "Bacterial small subunit ribosomal RNA", at positions 396 to 896 of the family's 1533-position model. Lineage: Bacteria; Bacillati; Chloroflexota. The record is from RNAcentral.